GACGAACGCUGGCGGCGUGCUUAACACAUGCAAGUCGAACGGAAAGGCCCUGCUUUUGUGGGGUUCUCGAGUGGCGAACGGGUGAGUAACACGUGAGUAACCUGCCCUUGACUUUGGGAUAACUUCAGGAAACUGGGGCUAAUACCGGAUAGGAGCUCCUGCUGCAUGGUGGGGGUUGGAAAGUUUCGGCGGUUGGGGAUGGACUCGCGGCUUAUCAGCUUGUUGGUGGGGUAGUGGCUUACCAAGGCUUUGACGGGUAGCCGGCCUGAGAGGGUGACCGGCCACAAUGGGACUGAGAGACGGAGCAGACUCCUACGGGAGGCAGCAGUGGGGAAUAUUGCACAAUGGGCGGAAGCCUGAUGCAGCAACGCCGCGUGCGGGAUGACGGCCUUCGGGUUGUAAACCGCUUUCGCCUGUGACGAAGCGUGAGUGACGGUAAUGGGUAAAGAAGCACCGGCUAACUACGUG
RNAcentral lists this ribosomal RNA (468 nucleotides) under uncultured bacterium. RNAcentral's name for it is "partial 16S ribosomal RNA". It matches the Rfam family "Bacterial small subunit ribosomal RNA", at positions 28 to 507 of the family's 1533-position model. The record is from RNAcentral.